ACCACACAGACAGCACGAUAGUCUUGCAGAGGAGAGCGUUUCUCACGAGUGGAUUUACAACUGACUGACCAAUCAACCUUCAUCAGAACUUUCUGAAGUUGUGGUGGUGGGAAAGUGGUGGUGGGAAAGCUAGGUUUUCAGGGAGGUUGCUGACAGCCAGGUGAUGACCAGCAUCUUUCACCAGUAGUCUCCUGGUCUUCCACUGCAUCUCCAAUUUCUUGCCACCACAGACGGAUGUUUCAGUGAAGUAGUUUUGCUGCAACCUCUCUGCCAUCUGCCAUGCGAUGGGCGCUAGAGCACAUCCCGUUGAGGAAGUCGGUAGCUAGGGGUGGAGGAGCAAAGUUCAAGUUAACAAAGCUGAUGUUUAAUGGUAGCUACUAGAGAUCCUGGAUGCUGACUCUGCCUGGGUUUUCACAAUGCCUGGACCUAAAAGUGCUGAAAUGCCCUGAAACUGCACAUCAAACAUCAGUCUUUGAUAAGACAGGACCUGAGUAACCUGAGUAAGUCAUCAGACGCCUGUUAUCAGAACCACAAGAAGAGGAACAUGUGUUUCAGGUUUUCCUGCUCUUACCAAGAAGACGUUGCUCUUGAUGCUGGAAUGCCCUGAAACUGCACCACUUUGUGAUGACAUCAAACAUCAGAGAAACUACAUCCAAGGUGCCUUGGGCCUAUUUAGAAUGUACUAGGCUGUUAAAUGAGAAAAAAAGGUUAUAUGGGCAAUUCCAUGCUGGUGGAGACACAAGACCAAACAAUUAUUCUACGGUUUGUUCAA
This 772-nucleotide unclassified non-coding RNA is filed under the name Patiria miniata (bat star). RNAcentral describes it as "uncharacterized LOC119733134, transcript variant X1". Lineage: Eukaryota; Metazoa; Echinodermata; Asteroidea; Valvatida; Asterinidae. The record is from RNAcentral.